RNAcentral lists this long non-coding RNA (1220 nucleotides) under Homo sapiens (human). RNAcentral's name for it is "HSALNT0118045". Lineage: Eukaryota; Metazoa; Chordata; Mammalia; Primates; Hominidae. The record is from RNAcentral.
GGCAGGUGGAGAGAUGGAGCCCCGGGCAGGGGCCUCUAAGCACAUAACUUCAUUUACUCCCCACCCCUGCUCUGGAAGGAGGUAUUGUGUUUGUUUACAUUUUUAUAAAUGAGAAUGCUCAGAGAGGGUAGUAAACUAGCCCAAAGUCACACAGGAUGUCGAUGGGUGGUUUUGACCUUUCUCCUGCUGUUACCCAACACAGGCGCAGCCUGGAAUCCUGUGAUCUCUAGAUUAAGAGUCUCGUUUCUUGCCCAUUUUGGAAACUAUCAUUAACCUAGAACAAUGCUUCUUAGCCUCUCAGAGGAUGCCUUUGAAAGGCUGAUGAAAGCCGUGGAUUAUUUUUGCAGAAAAAAUGCACAUACCUGCAUGUGUUCACUCACACCUCGGUUCUGCCUACAACUUCAAGAUAUUUGCAGAUGCCCCAAAUGGAGGAAAAGCUGUCAGGGACAGGUGAAGCACUUUCUUCCCAGCCUGGUACCUUGUGAACAAAUUUUAAGACGCUUUUUCGUGAUCUUCUCCUUCUAAGAUUUGGCCGAUACAGUCCUCACUUCAGAAAACUGGUACUCCAGACUGAAAUCAGAAAAGUAUUCCCCAGCUGCAGAGAAACCGGGACUCUGGAGACCAUCCUUGCGUUUUGGCAAAAAGACUCUGCUGGCCGGGUGCAGUGGCUGAUGUCUGUAAUCCCAGUACUUUUGGAGGCCAAGGUGGGUGGAUCACUUGAGGUCAGGAGGUCGAGACCAGCCUGGGCAACAUGAUGAAACCCCAUCUCUACUAAAAAUACAAAAACAAUUAGCCGGGCAUGGUGGCACAUGCCUGUUACCCCAGCUACUGGGGAGGCUGAGGCAGGAGAAUCACUUGAACCCAGGAGGCAGAGGUUGCAGUGAGCCGAGAUUGUGCCAUGGCACUCCAGCCUGGGCAACAGAGUGAGACAUCAUCUCAAAAAAAUUUAAAAAGGCUUCCACAAAUAGGAGGAGAGACCAGGGAUUAGAGAGAAAGCAGCAGCAUUGCUUGGUGAUUUUUUGGCCUCCUCCUACCUCAGUUUUCCCAACUACAAAAUGGGGGCAAUGGUGUUUCUAGCCUCAUAGAGUUGUUACACCUGCACAGCACGGUACCUGGAGCAGCAAGACCAGCACAUACAUGGGAGCUGUGGUUAUUGACUCCAGGCCAGCUGCCAGAAGGGAGACCUCUGUAUCCAGAGACAUCAAGGCAUUGGCAAGGGG